CCUGGACACCAGCCAUGGGCACCAGGGGUGGCUUGCAGCAGGCUUUGAUGCCCAUAAUCUCCAGCAGGAUCCCCCAAAGACUGCAGGUAUCGUGGGGUGCCUGAGGUGCAAAUGCAGCCUGGAGCAAGCACCCGCCCUUCCUCUGGACAGCACCCCAAGUCCCUCCUGGGGAUUCUGUUCUGCUCCCUGCUGGGCAACCCCACUCCCCACUGGGCUGUGGACUUGCUUCCCAAAGGCUUUGAGAAGCUUGAAAAAAAGUCCCAAGUCCUGGAGGCUUCAGUAGGACCUUCUCCUGUAGGGUCAGGACAGGACAGGUGGGGUGGGAUCUCUUGAGACAAAUGGCCCAGGCAGGGAUGCAGAGCUAAAGGAGACAGACCAAGGUGGCCUUAAAAAAUAUUAACAGAAUGCAAACUAUGGAUCAGGCAGUGUGUGAGGCCUUGGACUGCUGACCCCCAGACCUGAUGGAGAGAAGAGCUAAAAAGGCCCUUGGGGACAGGCCUGGCAGUGCCGGGGACCCCAACACCUUUCUGCUUGUCUCAGAGCUUGCAUCCCAGAGCGGAGGGAGGACAGUCGCAGCAUGGCUGAGUCCUGUCUGCCCCCACACAGGCAGGGCAGCUCCUCGGGGCUCCACGGGGCUUCAGGCCAGCCAGGCCGAGCCGAGCCAGGCAGCGAGUGGCUGAAACUCAAUCCAGUGGUGGCUCAGAUGUAACCACAGUUCUUGCCUUGGGGAAGCCUGGCUGUGACCAGAAGGCAGAGAAAGUGACCUUCCAGGCCACCUUCCCUGGAGCAGCAGUGCGGGGACACAUUUCAGGGUUUGAGGGGGAGCCCAGCCUUGGCCAGGGCGACAGUCUGUUCCAAGGGCAGCCUCCUGCUGGGAAGGCAGGCACGGUGAGAGAACCCCGGAGCCUGUCUGCAGCGGCUUACUUCCCCUGAAGCUGGCAUCUUCCAUUCAGGGGCUGCCUGGGGGGGUGAAGGGAAGUGGCCCACGGCUUGCUGUCCCCAAAACCUGGUCCUCUUCCUUUGCUGGCACCCACAUAUGGCACACAGGCACCAGGUCCGAUAGGCACCUGUGGACCGCUGCCCUGGGAAGGGGAUGAGUGGAGUCUUUCCUGAGGGAUUCUCAAGGCAGAAACUAGCGCCUCCCAAGUUUCCCCCAACAUUUCCAGCUGGGUGAGUACACUGAGCUCUAACCUGUACUUUGAGUAUGAAUUUUUCUUUUUUGUACUGGGGCUCAAACUCGGGUCCUUGCUCUUGCAAGGCAGACGGUGGAACCACUGAGCUAAAUCCCCGGCCCUCUAACCUGCACUUUGAACUGACGAAUGCUGAUCAGGGCUCUCUGUACAAGCACAGAGCCCUGCGUCUGAACCCACAGCUGUAGGAUUCGCCUCAUUUCUUUUCACGGUCUCAUUGAAGGCAGGAGCAAGGCCGCCCCAGGCAGCCGCUCCAGAUCUCCAAAAGGGACCCCAGGCACUGGCCGAAAGCACACAGGGCCACCAGAAGCAGGAAGGGUGAAAGCCAGGCUGCCCUCAGAACUGCCUCUCUCAGCAGCAGAAGGUAAAUGUCUCUGGGACAAGGAAACAGCCCUCAAGAGGUGACCGCAUGGGCAGAACUGGCAGAAGUAUGACCAGGUCUCCUAAAGGCAGGGUGGAGGGGAGCAGCCGGCUUGCUCUCCAUUCUGUGCAUCCUGCUGGCUGCCUCCCAGGCUCCCAGGCCCUGGGGAGUUUUCCAACCUUUCUGCAUGAGAACAAUCUCCUGCUUCCAUCCAUCCCCCACUGCCCCUGUGUAAGCCCGGGCCAAGACCCAAGCUGAAGCAGCCUCUGCCUCCAGCCCCGCCUCCUGCUCCCCUCCAGGGCCAGCCCAGGUGUCCUCCUGGGCUCCCGUCCACAGUAGUGGGGGGAAGGCCUUUCCUUUCUGACUCCCAGACAUGCUUGGAGGUGGGGGCGACAUAUCCCAUGACUGCCUGGGUCCUGUGCCACAGGGAUGGGAAUGGGACAGAGCGCUGGCACUGCUGUGUCCAGAGAAAGGGGGCUUUGGUAGCUUCUGAAUGGGCCAGGAAGCGAAGGACCCCAGCCCCUGGCCUUGGGAGAUGGCAACAGUGUCCCUGAGAGCUCCUGCAGCUGGGGUGGGAGAGUGGGGGACAAGGAGACCAGGAGGAACCCAGACAGCAGGCUGGGUGACACAGAGGGAGACCUUGCCACAUGAAGGAGCAAGCGAAUGAGCGAGAUCUGCUGUCCCUCUGAGCCAGCCAGGCCCUUGCAAAGGAGCAAGGGAACCCCAGCCUGCUCCACAAAACACAGGUGAAGGAGCUGGGGAGCUGGGGAUGGAGGUCAGUGGUGCUGCCCCUGCCUGGCAAGCACAAAGUCCUGAGUUCGAUUCCUGGUACUGGGAAGAAAAAAGAACUGGAGGGCUGGAGCCGAAACUCACGCACACUUACUUCUGAAGAAGAGCCUGUGCCCCUGGACAGCCCUGCAGCCCCCUCCCUGCUUCCAGUGGGGAAGAUCCACAUGCUUGCCCAGCCUCGGCCAUGCCAGGAAGAAAGAGCUAGUUGUGGUUCAUGCUUCAGUCACCUCAGUCGGUGCACGGAUGGCCUAGCACAGAGGCUGUGGAGGACGCUGCUCACUGAAUGGCAGCCUGGAAACAGACAGAGGAGAGAAGAGCUGAGAGGGCGAUAAACCUCCCUCGACACGCUCCAGGGACCCCACCUCCUCCGUCAGACCCUGCUUCCCAGCAGCCAGCUGUACCACGUCAUCAAACAAUGACCAUUCCCUGGCAUAUUAUCGUAAAAAUGAUGAUUUUAAUCAUAGGUUCCACUUGACUGAGUGCCCCCGAUGUUCUACCCAGUACAUGCAACAUCUCUGCUAAUCCUCAGGAAAAAGCCAUUAUUAUCCCCUGGCCAAGAGGGGAAAACCAAAGCUUACAAACUUCAGCAAAUAUCCUGCCUGUGGUUGAUGCUGUUCAUUCUGCCAUUCCCUGCACUCAUAUUAUGCCACAGCGGAUGAACUGACUUUAGCAAAAUAAUGUAGCAAUUAUUUCCUGUUUGUAAAACAGCUUCACCAUUAGAAUAUUUAACCCUUUGCCCCACUUAUUACUGUUGUAGCCCAGGUUUUUGUGUAGUUAGGUCACCUAAACAGUAGAUACAGUUUGCAUAAUGAUGCUCUGGCUCAGGACAGGUAAACAAUGGUUUUGUAAGAUUAUAAUAGAGCUGAAAAGUUCCUAUUGCAGUGAACACACGGCUGGAGAAUAGAAAGAGAAACUGCAGGGGGAAAUAGAACCCUGAAGAAAAUUCACAGUGAAGAUUUAGCAGAAGCGGUUGCAGACUUCAACAAGCUCCUUACAAGUGUUUGAAAACCCACAGGCUGUCCUUAAUAGAGAAGAGUUUUCAUCGCAUUAUCUGCCUACAAGAAAAAUCUAUGACAGAAAAAAAGAGAGAAGCAAACAACUAAGGACAUAUUUCUUUCUUUCUUUCUUCUUUUUUUUUUUUUUGAGGUACUGGGGAUUGAACUUGGGACCUUGUGCUUUCGAGGCAGCUGGUGGCACCACUGAGCUAAAUCCCCAGCCCACUAAGGGCAUAUUUCCGAAGAGUGACCUGCCUCAGUCCUUCAAGAGGGAUCCAGAGGGAAGCCACAGCUGUGGUCAUGGGGGUGACAGGCACCUUGUCACUGCCUUCCGGGGGGAGAGGAUGUGGAGGCGGAAGGCAGAGACUGACACUCCUCAUCCUGUGUAGGCCUAGGCCAAUGUGUGUGUUUGCAUCUUGAUUUUUAAUUUUUUUAAAAGUUUAAAAAGUAAAAUAAAAUUUAAAUAGAAAAGCUUAUAUAACAAGGGUAUAAAACUACUUUUGUACAGCUGUACAUGUUUGUGUUUGAAGCUGUUAUUACAAAUGAGUCAAAAUGUUUAAAUUAUCAAGAGCAUAUAAAGUAAAAAUGUUACAGUAAACUGAAGUUAAUUUAUUACCGAAGGAAAAUACUGGUCAUCAAUUCAGUGCAGGCUAGGUGUGGCCUGUGUAAAGUCCACAGCAGUGCACAGAAACAUCCUGGGCUUCCACACUCACUUCACCACUCGGGGUACGUACAAGGCACCAUCUCUACCACAUCUUAACUGUGCCUUUUCUGCAUUUGAAUGCACGAAUACUGUUAUGGCUGUCUAGAUGUCUCCCAAAGCCCCAUGCAGUCGUAGCUGGGGGGUUUUCAGAGGUGGCUGGAUUUAAAGUGUGUAAUUGAUUCAUGGUGCAAUGCUAGGAUUAAGAGUGCUAGAAUUAAGGGUGUGUGAUUACUAAAUCAGUCCACUGAUUGGUUUGGCCCUGCCCUAAUCUCAGUAGCCUGAGUACAGUAUAAGGGACAGAAGAGGCUUGUCUUGUCCUGGCGAAGCCCAACCGACCUCCAAUGCUGCUUGACAAAGUUCCCGGUGGGGGAAAGAAAGGGUGGAACACAUCGUACCCUCAUGUUUUAUUUUUUCUUGCCAUAAUGUUUAUAAUUGUUACUCUGAUCACAGGAGUCAUUGUGUUUGUGACUAACAACACUCUCCAUGAGACAAAUUGGUAAUGAUACAUUGAAAUCUGAUCUGGCUCACAAGUCCCAAAUUCCAGUUUCUCUUAGUUCUAUUGCCACAUCCACUUCUAAAAAAACCUCUCCUAAAACCCCCUCUGUUUCCCCACUACUAUGACUCCCCCUCUUAUUGCUGACAUUCUUUUUACUAAAGGGGUCUUA
Molecule: long non-coding RNA, 4703 nt
Organism: Heterocephalus glaber (naked mole-rat)
Lineage: Eukaryota; Metazoa; Chordata; Mammalia; Rodentia; Bathyergidae
Source: RefSeq, a predicted model, not a curated record